Molecule: ribosomal RNA, 466 nt
Filed under: uncultured bacterium
Lineage: Bacteria
Description: partial 16S ribosomal RNA
Rfam family: Bacterial small subunit ribosomal RNA
Source: RNAcentral
CUACGGGUUGCAGCAGUCGAGAAGCUUCGGCAAUGGACGAAAGUCUGACCGAGCGACGCCGCGUGAGCGAUGAAGGCCCUAGUGGUCGUAAAGCUCUGUCAGGAGGGAAUAAAUGCCUGCGGCCAAUACCCGCAGGAGUUGAAGGUACCUCCUGAGGAAGCGCCGGCUAACUGACGUGCCAGCAGCCGCGGUAAUACGUAGGGCGCAAACGUUGUUCGGAUUUACUGGGUUUAAAGGGUUCGUAGGCGGGCUUGUAAGUCAGAGGUGAAAGCCAACGGCUCAACCGUUGAACUGCCUCUGAUACUGCAAGUCUUGAGUCCGUUAGGGGAUGGUGGAAUUCCUGGUGUAGCGGUGAAAUGCGUAAAUAUCAGGAGGAACACCGGUGGCGAAGGCGGCCAUCUGGGACGGUACUGACGCUGAGGAACGAAAGCAUGGGUAUCAAACGGGAUUAGAUACCCCCGUAGUC